Molecule: ribosomal RNA, 253 nt
Filed under: uncultured bacterium
Lineage: Bacteria
Description: partial 16S ribosomal RNA
Rfam family: Bacterial small subunit ribosomal RNA
Source: RNAcentral
UACGGAGGGUGCGAGCGUUAAUCGGAAUUACUGGGCGUAAAGCGUGCGUAGGCGGUUUGAUAAGUCGGGUGUGAAAGCCCCGGGCUUAACCUGGGAAUUGCAUUCGAUACUGUCUGACUCGAGUCUGGGAGAGGGAAGCGGAAUUCCGGGUGUAGCGGUGAAAUGCGUAGAUAUCCGGAGGAACAUCAGUGGCGAAAGCGGCUUCCUGGCCUAAGACUGACGCUGAGGUACGAAAGCGUGGGGAGCAAACAGG